UUGAAAGGGAAACGAUUGAAGUCAGUCGUACCGACGAGAAAUCAACUUAUCGUGUGCGAACUUGUGGACGUGCGUGAGUUUCGGCCUCGCUGUUUGCAUGUUUGUGCGUUUUGGGUGUACUUUUUCGUAUGGUAGGCCAACGUCAGUUUCGAUUAUCAUAAAAUGACCGGCGGAAUGUAGCUUCGAUUUCGGUUGAAGUGUUAUAGCCUCUGGUAGAUGUGGUGAUUGAGACUGAGGAUUGCAACGAAUACCCUUUGGGCUAUCCGUCUGGCCUCUGAAAGUUGCUCAGGUGCCGAAAGCGUGCUUACGGUCAUCUAAGAUAACGUUCAACAGGUUAGAACGUGAUUACAUUCGUUAAGGAUGUUG
Molecule: ribosomal RNA, 366 nt
Filed under: uncultured Glomeromycotina
Lineage: Eukaryota; Fungi; Glomeromycota
Description: eukaryotic LSU rRNA
Source: RNAcentral